RNAcentral lists this RNase P RNA (385 nucleotides) under Bacteroidales bacterium. RNAcentral's name for it is "RNase P RNA component class A". It matches the Rfam family "Bacterial RNase P class A". Rfam says of the family: Ribonuclease P (RNase P) is a ubiquitous endoribonuclease, found in archaea, bacteria and eukarya as well as chloroplasts and mitochondria. Its best characterised activity is the generation of mature 5'-ends of tRNAs by cleaving the 5'-leader elements of precursor-tRNAs. The record is from RNAcentral. Lineage: Bacteria; Pseudomonadati; Bacteroidota; Bacteroidia; Bacteroidales.
AAAGUAGGACGGUUUGUCGCUGACAGAGAAUCAUUCAUGAACUCUGUUUGAGGAAAGUCCGGGCAACACAGAGCACCACGCUUCCUAACGGGAAGUCGGCCGAGAGGUCGAAUACAACGCAAUAGAAAACAACCGCCCCUAAGGUCUAUACCUUAGGAGCAAGGGUGGAAAGGCGAGGUAAGAGCUCACCGCACAGCAUGGCAACAUGCAGUGGCUGAGGCGUGUCGUGGGUUGAAAGACCAAGUAAACCAAUGUCUGAGGGUUGCUCGCCCAAGUUGGAGGGUAGGUCGAUAGAGACUGAUGGCGACAUCGGUACCAGAUAAAUGACAAACACCACGUCGACAACGAUGCGGCACAGAACCCGGCUUAUAGGUCUACUUCUUUC